RNAcentral lists this ribosomal RNA (291 nucleotides) under Enterococcus faecium. Its description in RNAcentral is "partial 16S ribosomal RNA". It matches the Rfam family "Bacterial small subunit ribosomal RNA", at positions 1103 to 1395 of the family's 1533-position model. The record is from RNAcentral. Lineage: Bacteria; Bacillati; Bacillota; Bacilli; Lactobacillales; Enterococcaceae.
CCUUAUUGUUAGUUGCCAUCAUUCAGUUGGGCACUCUAGCAAGACUUCCGGUGACAAACCGGAGGAAGGUGGGGAUGACGUCAAAUCAUCAUGCCCCUUAUGACCUGGGCUACACACGUGCUACAAUGGGAAGUACAACGAGUUGCGAAGUCGCGAGGGUAAGCUAAUCUUUUAAAGCUUCUCUCAGUUCGGAUUGCAGGCUGCAACUCGCCUGCAUGAAGCCGGAAUCGCUAGUAAUCGCGGAUCAGCACGCCGCGGUGAAUACGUUCCCGGGCCUUGUACACACCGCCC